RNAcentral lists this ribosomal RNA (123 nucleotides) under Burkholderiales bacterium T6. RNAcentral's name for it is "partial 16S ribosomal RNA". It matches the Rfam family "Bacterial small subunit ribosomal RNA", at positions 220 to 342 of the family's 1533-position model. The record is from RNAcentral. Lineage: Bacteria; Pseudomonadati; Pseudomonadota; Betaproteobacteria; Burkholderiales.
AUAGGAGCGGCCGAUGUCUGAUUAGCUAGUUGGUGGGGUAAAGGCCUACCAAGGCGACGAUCAGUAGCUGGUCUGAGAGGACGAUCAGCCACACUGGGACUGAGANAGGGCCCAAACUCCUAC